Molecule: non-coding RNA, 134 nt
Organism: Notechis scutatus (mainland tiger snake)
Lineage: Eukaryota; Metazoa; Chordata; Lepidosauria; Squamata; Elapidae
Source: RefSeq, a predicted model, not a curated record
GGCUCAAUACUUCAAGCGGUUCAACUUCAACAUUAAAUUAUAUCCCCAGAGGGAAAAAUGUACUGGCGGAUGCCCUGUCCAGGAAACCCCAAUUUGACAGUCGCCGAGAGGAAAUAAUACAUGCUGUAAAUCCA